This 1413-nucleotide long non-coding RNA is filed under the name Sus scrofa (pig). RNAcentral describes it as "lncRNA (ENSSSCG00070026887.1)". The record is from RNAcentral. Lineage: Eukaryota; Metazoa; Chordata; Mammalia; Artiodactyla; Suidae.
CCGUCGUGGCGCAGUGGUUAAUGAAUCCGACUAGGAACCAUGAGGUUGCGGGUUCGGUCCCUGCCCUUGCUCAGUGGGUUAAUGAUCCGGCGUUGCCGAGAGCUGUGGUGUAGGUUGCAGACGCGGCUCGGAUCCCGCGUUGCUGUGGCUCUGGCGUAGGCCGGUGGCUACGGCUCUGAUUCAACCCCUAGCCUGGGAACCUCCAUAUGCCGCAGGAGCGGCCCAAGAAAUAGCAAAAACAAACAAACAAACAAACAAAAAAACCCAAAAAAACAGGGGAUGUCGGGUCCAGACUGGUUGCUUCUGAGUUCAGACACUCCAUUGCCGUGAGGUGUGGGGCAGACAGUCAAGCGGAGCUGAACAUAGUAAAAGAUGAUGUUCAGUGUCUUACAAGCUGCUUUUCCCCUGAGGUUAAACUUGUGGUUUAGGGCUAAAGGGGGCUGAGGGAAGCUAGGACCCAGGGAAUUUUGCCUGGUUCCACAUUUACUGCUAGUUUAACUGUGGAGUUACCUUUCCACACCUCAGUCCCCUACGUGGGAAGAUGAUAAUGGUUCCUACGUCGUAGGAUUGUUGGGGGCAGCAAAUGAAAUAAUACACUUGCAUCACACUGGAAACACAAGUUAGUGAUUCAUAAUUCUUAGGUGCCAUUACAGGGGUGCUGUCUAGCAGUUAAGGCUGCAGGCUUAGAGUUCCCAUUGUGGCCCAGUGUUAACGAGCCAAAAUAGUAUCCAUGAGGACGCAGGUUCAAUCCCUGGUCUCACUCAGUGGGUUAAGGAUCUGGUAUUGCCAUGAGCUGUGGUGUACGUCACAGACGCGGCUUAGAUCCUGUGUUGCCGUGGCUGUGCUCUAAUUAGAGCCCUAGCCUGGGAACUUCCAUAUGCCUUAGGUGUGGCCCUAAAGGAUUAAAAAAAAAAAAAAAAAAAAAAAGAUGCAGUCUCGGAAGCUGACAACAUGAGGACAUGAGCCCAGAGAGGUCAAAUGACUUUCCAGGUCACACAGCUGGUGAAGACAAUACUGGUGGAUUCCCCAGGGAAAAGAAACCCUUCAGACGAGCAAACAGGAUUUAUGGAGGGGAUGGAACAGCGCAUCUCACAGAGACCUAAGAAGAGACGGGCCGUCUGGAAAAUGAGGUGGGCAGCAGAUGGAAAUGGUUUCCAUUGUCUUUCCAAGGAGCCAGGGGAUCUCUGAUCCGCCACUGUUUCUGCUACUUCCCCUCUUAGGGGGGAUAGUCCUUAUUUUGAAUUCUUCAUGGCUUUGGCUUGUAUCGGCUGUGCCCUGAUGUUUUAGAACCGAAUAUUCUUUCAAGUAGCAUCUUCUUUCUCCACUGAACCUCUUGUCUCAAUCCCAGAUUCCUGAGGUUGGCACAGCCUCAGUCCCACGUGUAUCUCUGGCCCAGUUGGCAGCAGCUUGGAG